AGGGUGGAGGCAGAGAUAGAGAGGGUUCCAGGUUUUAAAGCUCAAUUUUGCCCUCUGACUUGUUUGUGGCUUCGGGAAGGUGCGGAUUUCUUGUCUUAAUCCAGACGAAAUUACAAGUGGAAAUGAACUUGAAACAUCAUUGGGAGAAACUGGAAAAGAUGAUUCCACUUUGCGUACAAGGUUCAAUCAAAUGGAGGACGAGGAGCAAUUGAAUGGUGGACCAACAGCAAUCAAUAUCAGACGUGGAUGAAAACGUACUUGGACAAUAUUUCAUUGGACAUUUUGUAUUAUGUCCAAACACAAUUAUCUGAUUAUUGACAAAAAACUUGAACUCAUGUUGUCCCUGGGAUCACAUUGGUGCACAGAGUAAUGAAAACCAAAAACUAGCAGGUUGAAAAAUACCUCCAAGAGGCAAUAAUUCCCCCUAACGGGCAAAGGAAAAUGUAUCCACUAUG
This is a long non-coding RNA of Callorhinchus milii (elephant shark), 455 nucleotides long. RefSeq lists it as uncharacterized. The transcript has 3 exons. The record is from RefSeq and is a predicted model, not a curated record. Lineage: Eukaryota; Metazoa; Chordata; Chondrichthyes; Chimaeriformes; Callorhinchidae.